Molecule: long non-coding RNA, 922 nt
Organism: Armigeres subalbatus
Lineage: Eukaryota; Metazoa; Arthropoda; Insecta; Diptera; Culicidae
Exons: 3
Source: RefSeq, a predicted model, not a curated record
GGAACUUUUACCGCGGAAGAUCAUCCACGAGUCAAGCCUUUACCUGAGAUCACUAGAAAGUGCAUAAUCACAAGCAAGUGCUGAAAAAACUGGAUCUAUUUGCGUGUUAUUGGCCAAGCAGAUGGAAAACAGCUUUUAAAGUGACGGUGGAGAUGCCCUAAUAUAACAUUGUGAAAUCUGACGAUCGGGUCGACGGAUGGACGGCGAUGCAGAUCUGCGCAGAUAUGUAAAUAUUGUUGAACGUAGCACUCCUUCCACAGUCACCAAGUGUUUCGCAAUCCCAGCAACAGUUACUCUAUCGGCUAUACAAGAAAACAAAACAUUGUGUGUAUCCAGGAUGGAAACUUUAUUUAUCUGCUGAAUCGUCGUCAGGCCGUCUACAUUGCAAAAAAAACGAGCAGCCCAACGGCAUUGCUAGUCUCCGGAGCUGUACCUAAUCUGGGUGCUGGUAGGAUCAAAUAGAUCUUUUGGUUCGAGUUAGACAUUGCUGAUGGAGAGCAGAUUACUCAUUAAUACAUGAGUAUAGAAAGCAGGAUUUAGUGGACAACCCAGAACCAAUUUUGACCAUGACCAUCAAGUGAUACCAGCGACUUUUGUCACGAACCAGAGAUUCAUCUGCGGCAAUAAAAAUCAAUAGCUUUGGAAAGUUAUUUUCCGUACGAGGAACUACAGUCAACUUUCGCUCGUUGGGCUAAACUCGUAGCCCAUCUAGUGAAAGACUUUCGUUAGUUGGGCUGAGAUUUCAUCUGUCAAAUCAGGAAUACAAUAGAAAUUCAGAGCUGCCAACUGCGAAAAAGAAAAAAAAAACUGCCGUUGAUGUCAUAAUUUGACGUCCACCUUCGUUUUAAGUGGGCUACAGCCCAACUAACGGGCGCCCAACUAAAUCGUAGCCCAUCUAAAGAUAGCCCAACGAGUGAAAUUU